GUGCCUGGAUGGCCGCUCAUAUGCUAAAAUUGGGCCAUACAGAGAAGAUUAACAUGGCUUCUGAGCAAGGGACAUAAAAAUUCAGGUAUUU
This 91-nucleotide small nuclear RNA is filed under the name Dipodomys ordii (Ord's kangaroo rat). Lineage: Eukaryota; Metazoa; Chordata; Mammalia; Rodentia; Heteromyidae. The record is from RNAcentral.